Long non-coding RNA from Malurus melanocephalus (red-backed fairy wren), 286 nucleotides. RefSeq lists it as uncharacterized. NCBI's taxonomy places the organism in Eukaryota, Metazoa, Chordata, Aves, Passeriformes, Maluridae. The record is from RefSeq and is a predicted model, not a curated record. The transcript is spliced from 3 exons.
GAUCAUCAGGGACAGCUUUUCCUGGACGACGCCAAAGUGAAGAAUUUCACCACCUGCUUCAGAGACGAGCGUUUCCUCUCCUUCUUCUUCUCGCGCCUGGAGCGGAACCGGAGCGGCCGCCACGAGGGCGCGUUCCCGUGGCUGUCGCGCUGCGGCCGCGAGCGCAAACCCCCCACAGAAAUCCCACAAAUCCCUCAAUCCCAUCCCUGAAUCCAAUCCCAGAAAUCUCUGAAUCCCAUCCCAUAAAUCCCUCAAUCCGAUCCCAUAAAUUCCGGGAUCUCAUCCC